AGAGUUUGAUCAUGGCUCAGAUUGAACGCUGGCGGCAUGCUUUACACAUGCAAGUCGAGCGGCAGCGCGGGGGCAACCCUGGCGCGAGCGGCGAACGGGUGAGUAAUGCAUCGGAACGUGUCCCGUAGUGGGGGAUAACGCCGGGAAACCGGCGCUAAUACCGCAUAUGCUCUACGGAGGAAAGUGGGGGACUUCGCAAGAGCCUCACGCUAUGGGAGCGGCCGAUGUCCGAUUAGCUAGUUGGUGAGGUAAAGGCUUACCAAGGCGACGAUCGGUAGCUGGUCUGAGAGGAUGAUCAGCCACACUGGGACUGAGACACGGCCCAGACUCCUACGGGAGGCAGCAGUGGGGAAUUUUGGACAAUGGGGGCAACCCUGAUCCAGCCAUGCCGCGUGAGUGAAGAAGGCCUUCGGGUUGUAAAGCUCUUUUGUCCGGGAAGAAAAGGCUCACUCUAAUACGGUGGGUUCUUGACGGUACUGGAAGAAUAAGCACCGGCUAACUACGUGCCAGCAGCCGCGGUAAUACGUAGGGUGCGAGCGUUAAUCGGAAUUACUGGGCGUAAAGCGUGCGCAGGCGGUUCGUUAAGUCAGAUGUGAAAGCCCCGGGCUUAACCUGGGAAUGGCAUUUGAGACUGGCGAGCUGGAGUCUGGCAGAGGGGGGUGGAAUUCCACGUGUAGCAGUGAAAUGCGUAGAGAUGUGGAGGAACACCGAUGGCGAAGGCAGCCCCCUGGGCUGAGACUGACGCUCAGGCACGAAAGCGUGGGGAGCAAACAGGAUUAGAUACCCUAGUAGUCC
This 795-nucleotide ribosomal RNA is filed under the name uncultured bacterium. RNAcentral's name for it is "bacterial SSU rRNA". It matches the Rfam family "Bacterial small subunit ribosomal RNA", at positions 8 to 796 of the family's 1533-position model. The record is from RNAcentral.